AGAGUUUGAUCCUGGCUCAGGAUGAACGCUGGCGGCGUGCUUAACACAUGCAAGUCGAACGAACCUUCGGGUUAGUGGCGGACGGGUGAGUAACGCGUGGGAAUCUGCCCUCAGGAGGGGGAUAACGGUCGGAAACGACCGCUAAUACCCCAUAUGCCGAGAGGUGAAAUGAAUUUCGCCUGAGGAUGAGCCCGCGUCUGAUUAGCUAGUUGGUGUGGUAAUGGCUCACCAAGGCUUCGAUCAGUAGCUGGUCUGAGAGGAUGAUCAGCCACACUGGGACUGAGACACGGCCCAGACUCCUACGGGAGGCAGCAGUGGGGAAUUUUCCGCAAUGGGCGAAAGCCUGACGGAGCAACGCCGCGUGAGGGACGAAGGCCUCUGGGCUGUAAACCUCUUUUCUCAAGGAAGAAGAUCUGACGGUACUUGAGGAAUAAGCCACGGCUAAUUCCGUGCCAGCAGCCGCGGUAAUACGGGAGUGGCAAGCGUUAUCCGGAAUUAUUGGGCGUAAAGCGUCCGCAGGCGGCCUUUCAAGUCUGCUGUUAAAACGUGGAGCUUAACUCCAUCAAGGCAGUGGAAACUGUUGGGCUUGAGUGUGGUAGGGGCAGAGGGAAUUCCCGGUGUAGCGGUGAAAUGCGUAGAUAUCGGGAAGAACACCAGUGGCGAAGGCGCUCUGCUGGGCCAUAACUGACGCUCAUGGACGAAAGCCAGGGGAGCGAAAGGGAUUAGAUACCCCUGUAGUCCUGGCCGUAAACGAUGAACACUAGGUGUCGGGGGAAUCGACCCCCUCGGUGUCGUAGCCAACGCGUUAAGUGUUCCGCCUGGGGAGUACGCACGCAAGUGUGAAACUCAAAGGAAUUGACGGGGGCCCGCACAAGCGGUGGAGUAUGUGGUUUAAUUCGAUGCAACGCGAAGAACCUUACCAGGGUUUGACAUCCUGCGAACCUCUAAGAAAUUGGAGGGUGCCUUCGGGAACGCAGUGACAGGUGGUGCAUGGCUGUCGUCAGCUCGUGUCGUGAGAUGUUGGGUUAAGUCCCGCAACGAGCGCAACCCACGUUUUUAGUUGCCAGCAUUUAGUUGGGCACUCUAGAGAGACCGCCGGUGAUAAACCGGAGGAAGGUGUGGACGACGUCAAGUCAUCAUGCCCCUUACAUCCUGGGCUACACACGUACUACAAUGCUACGGACAAAGGGCAGCAAACUCGCGAGGGCAAGCAAAUCCCAUAAACCGUGGCUCAGUUCAGAUCGUAGGCUGCAACUCGCCUACGUGAAGCAGGAAUCGCUAGUAAUCGCAGGUCAGCAUACUGCGGUGAAUACGUUCCCGGGCCUUGUACACACCGCCCGUCACACCAUGGAAGUUGGCCACGCCCGAAGUCGUUACUCCAACCCUUGUGGAGGAGGACGCCGAAGGUGGGGCUGAUGACUGGGGUGAAGUCGUAACAAGGUAGCCGUACCGGAAGGUGCGGCUG
This 1465-nucleotide ribosomal RNA is filed under the name Prochlorococcus sp. AG-363-O21. RNAcentral describes it as "bacterial SSU rRNA". It matches the Rfam family "Bacterial small subunit ribosomal RNA". The record is from RNAcentral. Lineage: Bacteria; Bacillati; Cyanobacteriota; Cyanophyceae; Synechococcales; Prochlorococcaceae.